GAUGAACGCUGGCGGCGUGCCUAAUACAUGCAAGUCGAGCGAACGGACGAGAAGCUUGCUUCUCUGAUGUUAGCGGCGGACGGGUGAGUAACACGUGGAUAACCUACCUAUAAGACUGGGAUAACUUCGGGAAACCGGAGCUAAUACCGGAUGAUAUUUUGAACCGCAUGGUUCAAAAGUGAAAGACGGUCUUGCUGUCACUUAUAGAUGGAUCCGCGCUGCAUUAGCUAGUUGGUAAGGUAACGGCUUACCAAGGCAACGAUGCAUAGCCGACGUGAGAGGGUGAUCGGCCACACUGGAACUGAGACACGGUCCAGACUCCUACGGGAGGCAGCAGUAGGGAAUCUUCCGCAAUGGGCGAAAGCCUGACGGAGCAACGCCGCGUGAGUGAUGAAGGUCUUCGGAUCGUAAAACUCUGUUAUUAGGGAAGAACAUAUGUGUAAGUAACUGUGCACAUCUUGACGGUACCUAAUCAGAAAGCCACGGCUAACUACGUG
RNAcentral lists this ribosomal RNA (497 nucleotides) under uncultured bacterium. RNAcentral describes it as "partial 16S ribosomal RNA". It matches the Rfam family "Bacterial small subunit ribosomal RNA", at positions 28 to 507 of the family's 1533-position model. The record is from RNAcentral.